GACGAACCGUGCGAACGUUGUUCGGAAUCACUGGGCUUAAAGCGCGUGUAGGCGGCCCUGCAAGUCGGGUGUGAAAUCCCACGGCUCAACCGUGGAAGUGCAUUCGAAACUGCAGGGCUAGAGUCCUGGAGAGGAAGGUGGAAUGCUUGGUGUAGAGGUGAAAUUCGUAGAUAUCAAGCGGAACACCGGUGGCGAAGGCGGCCUUCUGGACAGUGACUGACGCUGAGACGCGAAAGCGUGGGGAGCAAACAGG
This 253-nucleotide ribosomal RNA is filed under the name uncultured bacterium. RNAcentral describes it as "partial 16S ribosomal RNA". It matches the Rfam family "Bacterial small subunit ribosomal RNA", at positions 524 to 776 of the family's 1533-position model. The record is from RNAcentral.